Molecule: small RNA, 571 nt
Filed under: Pan troglodytes (chimpanzee)
Lineage: Eukaryota; Metazoa; Chordata; Mammalia; Primates; Hominidae
Description: processed transcript
Source: RNAcentral
ACCAUGAACAGCAAAGGCAAGGACCGAGGGUGGCAGAGGUCGUCGGGGGGAGUACUGCUGGCCCAGAGCGAGCGGAUUCGGAGCCCAGGGUCACCAAACGCAAGGUCAAUAUCCAACACAGCCAACCUACCCUGUGCAGCCUCCUGGGAAUCCAGUAUACCCUCAGACCUUGCAUCUUCCUCAGGCUCCACCCUAUACCGAUGCUCCACCUGCCUACUCAGAGCUCUAUCGUCCGAGCUUUGUGCACCCAGGGGCUGCCACAGUCCCCACCAUGUCAGCCGCAUUUCCUGGAGCCUCUCUGUAUCUUCCCAUGGCCCAGUCUGUGGCUGUUGGGCCUUUAGGUUCCACAAUCCCCAUGGCUUAUUAUCCAGUCGGUCCCAUCUAUCCACCUGGCUCCACAGUGCUGGUGGAAGGAGGGUAUGAUGCAGGUGCCAGAUUUGGAGCUGGGGCUACUGCUGGCAACAUUCCUCCUCCACCUCCUGGAUGCCCUCCCAAUGCUGCUCAGCUUGCAGUCAUGCAGGGAGCCAACGUCCUCGUAACUCAGCGGAAGGGGAACUUCUUCAUGGGUGGU